Molecule: ribosomal RNA, 253 nt
Filed under: uncultured bacterium
Lineage: Bacteria
Description: partial 16S ribosomal RNA
Rfam family: Bacterial small subunit ribosomal RNA
Source: RNAcentral
UACGUAGGGUGCGAGCGUUAAUCGGAAUUACUGGGCGUAAAGCGUGCGCAGGCGGUUUGCUAAGACAGGUGUGAAAUCCCCGGGCUUAACCUGGGAACUGCGCUUGUAACUAGCAGGCUAGAGUGUGGCAGAGGGGGGUGGAAUUCCAGGUGUAGCAGUGAAAUGCGUAGAUAUCUGGAGGAACACCGAUGGCGAAGGCAGCCCCCUGGGCUAACACUGACGCUCAUGCACGAAAGCGUGGGGAGCAAACAGG